This 574-nucleotide ribosomal RNA is filed under the name Rogadius pristiger. Its description in RNAcentral is "partial 16S ribosomal RNA". It matches the Rfam family "Bacterial large subunit ribosomal RNA", at positions 1851 to 2605 of the family's 2925-position model. Lineage: Eukaryota; Metazoa; Chordata; Actinopteri; Perciformes; Platycephalidae. The record is from RNAcentral.
GGCACCGCCUGCCCAGUGACUUAUGUUCAACGGCCGCGGUAUUUUGACCGUGCAAAGGUAGCGUAAUAACUUGUCCUUUAAAUGUGGACUAGUAUGAAUGGCUUCACGAGGGCUUAUCUGUCUCCUUUUUUAAGUCAAUGAAAUUGAUCUUCCCGUGCAAAAGCGGGAAUGUCUUCAUAAGACGAGAAGACCCUGUGGAGCUUUAGACACCAAGACAAAUCCCGUUAAUUAUACCCCAUUAAAGGUUUAAACUAAGGAAACCCUGCUCUGAUGUCUUUGGUUGGGGCGACCGCGGAGAAUAAAAAAACCUCCCCUUCCGCGCGGAAUGGGGGAACCUUAACUCAACCCCCCUAUAACCGAGAGCUACAACUCGAACUACCAGAACUUUCUGACCACUAUUGAUCCGGCUUUCAGCCGAUCAACGAACCUAGUUACCCCAGGGAUAACAGCGCAAUCCCCUUCUAGAGCCCAUAUCGACAAGGGGGUUUACGACCUCGAUGUUGGAUCAGGACAUCCUAAUGGUGCAGCCGCUAUUAAGGGUUCGUUUGUUCAACGAUUAAAGUCCUACGUGAUC